AGGAGUAUAUGGCCAGGAAGGCAUCCUGUUCUGUCCUUCAAGGGGUUGGUUGCCCUAGUAACCCUAUGGUUGGCAGACCCGCGGCAUCUGUUCGAAGCUGUUAGACCCAGCUCCUGCCAACCUAGCGGUUCGACAAUAUGCAAAUGUGAGUAGAUCAAUAGGUAUCGCUUCGGCGGGACGGUAAAAAGGUGCCCACACUGAAGGGACCAUAAGCCAGAAAAUAGUAAACUUUUGCCUAUGUAGCUUUGCCUCUGCAUAUGCCCCUCCCUUCCUGUGAGCUGGUGCCUUUCUCCAGGAAGUUCCAAGGAGAGAAGAAAGCUCAGAGUAAACAAGUGAGGUCACAAGUCUCAUUUACACCAAGUAGGUGCGGAAGGUGAGGAAGACCCUCAGCCAUUGGUCAAUUUUAGAUAAGCCAAAGGUAUAUAUUCUUUGUUUGCUGUGCACAUGUUGCAAUGGCCUUUUGCAUGGCACUGACCCACUAGAGUGACUGUGUGAUAUUAUUAUUAUUAUUAUUAUUAUUAUUAUUAUUAUUAUUAUUAUUAUAAACACAACAAGAUGAGUCCACAGCAGACACUCUGCUGGUUGUUGUAUUGGAUCACACGUCGGACACUAUUAUUAUUAUUAUUAUUAUUAUUAUUAUUAUUAUUAUUAUUAUUAUUAUUUUAUUAUGACACAGCAAACAAGAUAGACAUGCUGGAUUUCUUAUCACAAAAUCACAAGUCAAACACUUCCCAAGUGUCUAGGACUGUGUGAUGUAUUUUCGGAUGAUGUGCGCAGAUCCCAGUCGGGUGGCCUUUUGCAGUUGACAGAUCGUAAUUUUGUCAAUAUCUAUUGUUUCCAAAUGCCAGCUGAGAUCUUUUGGCACGGCACCCAGUGUGCCCAUCACCACCGGGACCACCUGCACUGGUCUUUGAAGUUCAGAGUCUUUGAAGUUCAAUCUUGAGGUCCUGAUAGCGGCUGAGCUUUUCCUGUUGUUUUUCGUCAAUGCGACUGUCACCUGGGAUGGCGACAUCAAUGAUCCAAACCUUUUUCUUUUCCACAACUGUGAUGUCUGGUGUGUUGUGUUCCAGAACUUUGUCAGUCUGGAUUAUUAUUAUUAUUAUUAUUAUUAUUAUUAUUAUUAUUAUUAUUAUUAUUAUUAUUAUUCUCUUUCUAGAAAGUGAAAAAGGAAAAUACAAUCAUGUUGGUCAAGAAUUUUGGAUAUGACAUUUGCUUAAUGGUUGACUUAUAAAUCUUAUGGUAAAGGAAAUGAUACUUGUUUGGGCCUUGGUGGUGGGGUUAUGUUUUUGUAAAAUGUUCAUUGCUUUUGUGUUUUGUUUUACUGAAAGUUGUUAAUGUAUGUACAUAAAAAAUAAUUAUAAAAUAUUAUUUAUUUAUUUAUUUAUUUACAGUAGAGUCUCACUUAUCCAAGCCUCGCUUAUCCAAGCUUCUGGAUUAUCCAAGCCAUUUUUGUAGUCAAUGUUUUCAAUAUAUCAUGAUAUUUUGGUGCUAAACUCGUAAAUACAGUAAUUACAACAUAACAUUACUGCGUAUUGAACUACUUUUUCUGCCACAUUUGUUGUAUAACAUGAUGUUUUGGUGCUUAAUUUGUAAAAUCAUAACCUAAUUUGAUGUUUAAUAGGCUUUUCCUUAAUGCCUCCUUAUUAUCCAACAUAUUCGCUUAUCCAAGCUUCUGCCGGCCUGUUUAGCUUGGAUAAGUGAGACUCUACUGUAUUUAUUUUGAAGAAAGCUAGUCAAGAAAAUACUACCAAUAACGUUGCCAUCAGUCUGAGUCAACAUGAAGGCAUGGAAAACACAGAAAACACACAAAUAAAAAUGAACAACAACAUCUCUUUUAAUGAA
Anolis carolinensis (green anole) is the source of this 1842-nucleotide long non-coding RNA. RefSeq lists it as uncharacterized. NCBI's taxonomy places the organism in Eukaryota, Metazoa, Chordata, Lepidosauria, Squamata, Anolidae. The record is from RefSeq and is a predicted model, not a curated record. The transcript is spliced from 2 exons.